This 71-nucleotide transfer RNA is filed under the name Staphylinoidea sp. 4 KM-2017. RNAcentral's name for it is "tRNA-Trp". The record is from RNAcentral. Lineage: Eukaryota; Metazoa; Arthropoda; Insecta; Coleoptera.
AAGGAUUUAAGUUAAUUUAAACUUGUAGCCUUCAAAGCUUCUAAUAGAGAUUCUUACUUCUUUAAGCCUUA